UAUAUUCUAGUGUAUGAUGCACAUAAAUUUUUGAUGUUUAUAGGAUUAGUUUAAAUCUAUUGAAUAUAA
This 69-nucleotide transfer RNA is filed under the name Blaberus discoidalis (tropical cockroach). RNAcentral's name for it is "tRNA-Gln". Lineage: Eukaryota; Metazoa; Arthropoda; Insecta; Blattodea; Blaberidae. The record is from RNAcentral.